GAUGAACGCUGGCGGCGUGCCUAAUACAUGCAAGUCGAGCGAACGGACGAGAAGCUUGCUUCUCUAAUGUUAGCGGCGGACGGGUGAGUAACACGUGGAUAACCUACCUAUAAAACUGGGAUAACUUCGGGAAACCGUAGCUAAUACCGGAUAAUAUUUUGAACCGCAUGGUUCAAAAGUGAAAGACGGUCUUGCUGUCACUUAUAGAUGGAUCCGCGCUGCAUUAGCUAGUUGGUAAGGUAACGGCUUACCAAGGCAACGAUGCAUAGCCGACCUGAGAGGGUGAUCGGCCACACUGGAACUGAGACACGGUCCAGACUCCUACGGGAGGCAGCAGUAGGGAAUCUUCCGCAAUGGGCGAAAGCCUGACGGAGCAACGCCGCGUGAGUGAUGAAGGUCUUCGGAUCGUAAAACUCUGUUAUUAGGGAAGAACAUAUGUGUAAGUAACUGUGCACAUCUUGACGGUACCUAAUCAGAAAGCCACGGCUAACUACGUG
RNAcentral lists this ribosomal RNA (497 nucleotides) under uncultured bacterium. Its description in RNAcentral is "partial 16S ribosomal RNA". It matches the Rfam family "Bacterial small subunit ribosomal RNA", at positions 28 to 507 of the family's 1533-position model. The record is from RNAcentral.